CCUACGGGUGGCAGCAGUGGGGGAUAUUGCACAAUGGAGGCAACCCUGAUGCAGCGACGCCGCGUGGGUGAAGAAGCUCCUCGGCGCGUAAAGCCCUGUCAUCAGGGAAGAAAAUUACGGUACCUAACUACUCCUCCACGGCUACCUCCGUGCCAGCCGCCGCGGUCAUACAUAGGUGGCAAGCGUUCUCCGGAUUUACUGGGUGUAAAGUGCGCGUAGGCGGGACUGCAGGUCAGAUGUGAAACCCACGGGCUAAACCUGUGGGCUGCAGUUGAAACUGGAGUUCUUGAGUACGGGAGAGGCAGACGGAAUUCCUAGUGUAGCGGUGAAAUGCGUAGAUAUUAGGAGGAACACCAGUGGCGAAGGCGGUUUGCUGGACAGUAACUGACGCUGAGGCGCGAAAGCGUGGGGAGCAAACAGGAUUAGAUACCCGAGUAGUC
This 440-nucleotide ribosomal RNA is filed under the name uncultured bacterium. Its description in RNAcentral is "partial 16S ribosomal RNA". It matches the Rfam family "Bacterial small subunit ribosomal RNA", at positions 338 to 795 of the family's 1533-position model. The record is from RNAcentral.